GAUGAACGCUAGCUACAGGCUUAACACAUGCAAGUCGAGGGGCAGCAUGAACUUAGCUUGCUAAGUUUGAUGGCGACCGGCGCACGGGUGAGUAACACGUAUCCAACCUGCCGAUGACUCGGGGAUAGCCUUUCGAAAGAAAGAUUAAUACCCGAUGGCAUAGUUCUUCCGCAUGGUAGAACUAUUAAAGAAUUUCGGUCAUCGAUGGGGAUGCGCUCCAUUAGGUUGUUGGCGGGGUAACGGCCCACCAAGCCUUCGAUGGAUAGGGGUUCUGAGAGGAAGGUCCCCCACAUUGGAACUGAGACCCGGUCCAAACUCCUACGGGAGGCAGCAGUGAGGAAUAUUGGUCAAUGGACGAGAGUCUGAACCAGCCAAGUAGCGUGAAGGAGGACUGCCCUAUGGGUUGUAACCUUCUUUUAUACGGGAAUAAAGUGAGGCACGUGUGCCUUUUUGUAUGUACCGUAUGAAUAAGGAUCGGCUAACUCCGUG
RNAcentral lists this ribosomal RNA (489 nucleotides) under uncultured bacterium. RNAcentral describes it as "partial 16S ribosomal RNA". It matches the Rfam family "Bacterial small subunit ribosomal RNA", at positions 28 to 507 of the family's 1533-position model. The record is from RNAcentral.